GAUGAACGCUGGCGGCGUGCCUAAUACAUGCAAGUCGAGCGAAGAGACUAGGAACUUGUACCUCCUGGAUGAGCGGCGAACGGGUGAGUAACGCGUGGGGAACCUGCCUUUGAGCGUGGGACAACUUCUGGAAACGAAUGCUAAUACCGCAUAAUAACUUUAACCACAAGUUUCAAGAGUGAAAGACGCUAUUGCUUUACCCAAAGAUGAUCCCGGGUGGUAUUUGCCAGUUGGUAAGGAAAAGGCCUACCAAGGCAAGGAUGAUUAACCGAACGGAGAGGGUGACCGGCAAAAUGGGACCUGAGACACGGUCCAGACUCCUCCGGGAGGAACAAGAAGGGAAUCUUCGGAAAGGGGCGAAAGCUGGACGGAGAACCGCGGCGUGAGUGAGGAAGUUCUCGGGUCCGAAAACUCCGGUGAUUAGGGAAGAAGAAAUGGGUAAGGAAAUGCGCACCAAGUGACGGUAACUACCCAGAAAGCGACGGCUAACUACGUG
RNAcentral lists this ribosomal RNA (496 nucleotides) under uncultured bacterium. Its description in RNAcentral is "partial 16S ribosomal RNA". It matches the Rfam family "Bacterial small subunit ribosomal RNA", at positions 28 to 507 of the family's 1533-position model. The record is from RNAcentral.